This 538-nucleotide ribosomal RNA is filed under the name Cryptanura quadrimaculata. Its description in RNAcentral is "partial 16S large subunit ribosomal RNA". The stretch from base 389 to 538 matches the Rfam family "Archaeal large subunit ribosomal RNA", at positions 2542 to 2691 of the family's 2987-position model. The record is from RNAcentral. Lineage: Eukaryota; Metazoa; Arthropoda; Insecta; Hymenoptera; Ichneumonidae.
AACAUGUCUUUAUGAAAUUAAUAUAAAGUCUGAUCUGCUCAAUGAGAAAUUAAAUAGCUGCAGAAAUUUAACUGUGCAAAGGUAGCAAAAUCAAUAGUUUUUUAAUUAAAAGCUGGUAUGAAUGAUUUGAUAAGGUAAAUAUUGUCUCAAUUUUAAUAAUAUUAGAAUUUUUUUUGUAGUAAAAAAACUAUAAUAAAUUUAAAAGACGAGAAGACCCUAUAGAAUUUAAUUUUUUUUUGUUAGUAAAAAUUUAAAAUAAAAAAUAAUUUUUAAUAAAUAAAAAUUUGGUUGGGGAAAUUAUUAAAUUUAAUUAAUUUUAAUUAAAUAAUAACAUUAAUUUAUGGAUAUUUGAUCUUAGAUAAAAAUUAAUAGAAUAAAUUACCUUAGGGAUAACAGCGUAAUUUUUUUGGAGAGACCAUAUUGAUAAAAAAGUUUGCGACCUCGAUGUUGAAUUAAGGUUAAAUUUUAAUGAAGAAAUUAAAAAUUUUUGGUCUGUUCGACCAUUAAAAUCUUACAUGAUCUGAGUUCAAACCGGAGA